UACAGAGGUGGCAAGCGUUGUUCGGAAUUACUGGGCGUAAAGGGCGCGUAGGCGGUUCGUUAAGUCCUGUGUGAAAUCCCCCGGCUCAACUGGGGAACUGCACAGGAAGCUAGCGGGCUUGAGUUCGGGAGAGGGAAGCGGAAUUCCGGGUGUAGCGGUGAAAUGCGUAGAUAUGCGGAGGAACACCGGUGGCGAAGGCGGCCAUCUGGACGACGACUGACGCUGAGACGCGAAAGCGUGGGGAGCAAACAGG
Molecule: ribosomal RNA, 253 nt
Filed under: uncultured bacterium
Lineage: Bacteria
Description: partial 16S ribosomal RNA
Rfam family: Bacterial small subunit ribosomal RNA
Source: RNAcentral